GCCAUGAAGUCGCGUGACGAUCGAGCUACAAACUCCGCCAGGCCCGGAAGGGAGCAACGGUAGUUAGCAAGAUCGGGUGCGCGGCUUCUUUUUUUU
This 96-nucleotide signal recognition particle RNA is filed under the name Myxococcota bacterium. Its description in RNAcentral is "signal recognition particle sRNA small type". It matches the Rfam family "Bacterial small signal recognition particle RNA". From Rfam's summary of the family: The signal recognition particle (SRP) is a universally conserved ribonucleoprotein involved in the co-translational targeting of proteins to membranes. Archaeal SRP consists of a 7S RNA and homologues of the eukaryotic SRP19 and SRP54 proteins. In most bacteria, the SRP consists of a 4.5S RNA and the Ffh protein (a homologue of the eukaryotic SRP54 protein). The record is from RNAcentral. Lineage: Bacteria; Pseudomonadati; Myxococcota.